RNAcentral lists this ribosomal RNA (468 nucleotides) under uncultured bacterium. RNAcentral describes it as "partial 16S ribosomal RNA". It matches the Rfam family "Bacterial small subunit ribosomal RNA", at positions 28 to 507 of the family's 1533-position model. The record is from RNAcentral.
GACGAACGCUGGCGGCGUGCUUAACACAUGCAAGUCGAACGGAAAGGCCCUGCUUUUGUGGGGUGCUCGAGUGGCGAACGGGUGAGUAACACGUGAGUAACCUGCCCUUGACUUUGGGAUAACUUCAGGAAACUGGGGCUAAUACCGGAUAGGAGCUCCUGCUGCAUGGUGGGGGUUGGAAAGUUUCGGCGGUUGGGGAUGGACUCGCGGCUUAUCAGCUUGUUGGUGGGGUAGUGGCUUACCAAGGCUUUGACGGGUAGCCGGCCUGAGAGGGGGACCGGCGACAUUGGGACUGAGAUACGGACCAGACUCCUACGGGAGGCAGCAGUGGGGAAUAUUGCACAAUGGGCGGAAGCCUGAUGCAGCAACGCCGCGUGCGGGAUGACGGCCUUCGGGUUGUAAACCGCUUUCGCCUGUGACGAAGCGUGAGUGACGGUAAUGGGUAAAGAAGCACCGGCUAACUACGUG